Molecule: long non-coding RNA, 6236 nt
Filed under: Lynx pardinus (Iberian lynx)
Lineage: Eukaryota; Metazoa; Chordata; Mammalia; Carnivora; Felidae
Source: RNAcentral
UGCCGAUCCCUUACCCCUCUGAGCCUGCCCCUUACGUGCCGUGUGACAGUCACCCAGACCUCAACCCGGCCCGUGGCAAGUUAAUGUUUCAGACGAUUCCUGGAUGGAAGCCACGCUCCAGGAUCGCCCUCCCCCAUGAACUUGCUGGAUGCACGCAGGGCCAGGGCUGAAAGACGGUGGUCAUUACGAAGGGCUCUGACCUCUUCUCACCCUGUGGAUGUGUCCCUGGAGACAUUUCUCUCUCCAUUUCCUUAUUCCCAGACGGAGGCAACAGUUCCUGCCCACGUCCCAAGGAUGUUUAGAAGUCAUGGCUAACGGAAAUGACCGAGAAGCUCUUGGCAGAUGCCCAGUUCAGAAUCGCGUGCUGAAUGACGGCCUCCCUCACCCACCCUCUGUACCGCAUUACCUACGUGCCCUGCUCUCACCGCUCUGCUGACCGCCCUGGGGCGCGAAGCCCGUCUGUCCAGAGGUCCUGGGGUCCGCUAGAGAAGGUUCCCUUUGCGGGAACCACUGCGAUCCCCGCAUGGCCGAACUCGUAUUCUGGGUCGGAAACAACAGGUGAUAGAUGAGCUGCAAAAGGCUGAAAGGCUGCCAGCAUCCAGCCGCGGGCACCCAGGGCUUGGCGCCCCUUCCCCCAGAGGGGGUGGAAGUGAACCAAUUGACAUGGUGGGGUCAAGUUUGAGUGUGCCUCGGCGAAACCCCGGGACCUCCUUUCUUGAAAAACAACUGGGACAGGGUGACAGCUGUUCAAGGAUGCCAAAGAAAAGGGUCCCCCGGGGAAACCUCCCCAGGGAAGUCUCUGCCUGCAGGACGCUGUGAGUGACACAGAAGACAGUCGGCAGGAGUGGGCACAGCCCGGCCCGGGCGAACUCUCCGGGUGGCCAGCGAUCGGAAGCACCGUGCACAUGUAAAAUCUGGCGGUAACGAGGACCGUGGUGGCAGCGGUGACAUUGACUAUCACAGACGGUGGGGCCUAUCGAACUGUAGACCGUUCUGAAGCUGUGGCCCCUGUAAGGACUUGGCUGCAAAAUGGCUACCAUAUUGGAAUCAUCACAGCUCUUUUGGUCUUUAUUUAUUUAUUUUUAUUUAUUUGAGAGAGAGAGAGAGAGAGAGAGAGCAGGAGAGGGGCAGAGAGAAAGAGAGAGAAUCCCAAGCAGGCUCCGCACUCAGCAUAGACCCCCAACAUGAAGCUCAACCCCACGACGGUGAAAUCACCACCCAGAGGGACCACGUGACCCUCCCCAUUUGCACAUGGGCCGCCGCCUCUGAGGCAGGCUGGGAGAAUUCCUUGUGUGGAAGUCACCGGACUUCGAUCCCCAAGACCUGGAUUUGACUCUGGGAUCAACCACUUCCUAGCAGUGUGAACUGGGCCACAGCAGCUAACCUUUCUGAGACUCAAUGGUCCCAUCGAUAAACUGGAGCAAGCGAUGCCUCACCUCGGGGAGGUGAGGGGCCGUCAGAGGAAGCACGCAGCCCCAGGAGGUGAGAUAAAUCAGCAAAAUCCGAAUCUGGGUACAGGCGUGACCUCUUAGCUUCGGAGGCGAGAAGCCUCACGGUCACCUGGCGGGUGGGGGCGGCUGGAGGCCUCGGCCUCGGCCUCGGGAGCAGGCGUCGAGCCCUGGAAGUCAGCCUGCCCACCUCCCCCUGAGAGCUGGCAACAGGGCCGGAACAGGAUCUGCUCGUCCCCUGUGAUCCGGAGCAUUUGCCACCAGGUUGCAGUGGCCUCUUGGACAGUUUCGCAGGUGACAGAUCUUCCUCCAUGUCCUCCUGGGCCCAUCGCGCUCCCGGCCGCAGAGGGGACGCGCCCCUUUCGGGCCCCCAAGGCACCCCCCCCCACACCCAGUGGAAUCGAAGGCCCCCAAAAGGGCGCAAAGGGGAGUGCCCUGGGCACCAGGGAGAACGAGCCUCCUUGUAUUCUUUCUAGAUGAAUCUCCGGGCCUGCAGCGGCCCAGGGCGCAUCCCAGGCCUGCAGCAAACCUGUCCUGCUGCGGGGCUGUCUCGACACGCUGUUUGGAAAGUCAAGAUUUUCAAUGUAAACUUUGUUCUCCCUUUCCUUUCUUCAGGGAUCGAUUCGCAGAUGCGGCUUCGUGCCCCGCUUCCUCUCCACGGCUCCGGUGCCGAAAUCCGAGGUCACACGACAUCGCUGUCAGAACAAGUCCACGCCGCCGCCGUCCUAUCCGAGAGGCCCGCGCCGGGGCGGCCUUGGCUCCUGAGCCUGUCCCGGUGUAGGGUUCUCGGUGGCACUAUUUUUGGCAGAUUUUUUUUUUUUUUUUUUUUUAUCCUUGCUCUUUAUCACAAGCCUGUCGGGCAAAUGACAGAGGAAUUGCAAGCUUGAAUGGGCUUGUCUGACAGGCCAACUUUCAUCCCGGGUGCUGCUGCCUGACUUUGAAAAAGGAACUCUGGGCAGAAGAGAGUAAUUUCACACUGAUUCCUCGCCGUAAUUUGCUUUGGGGUUGAAAACGUCGCGUUUCAAUCAUCCCCGCUUCGCGCUGCAGGGGAGAAGACGGGCCACGCGUGCAGGUGACGCGUUUGCCGCGGGCCCGCGCCGAGACGACUGCCUGGCUCUGAGGCAACAGCCCUGAGACACACGGGCGGGCGCGCCAAGGAGCUCUCCGCCAGCCACAAACGAGUGCCUUCGGAGGAGCCCAUAAGAAAUGGGUUCUGGCAGAAAGAGAGAGCCGCCUAGGACGCGGAGCCUCAGAUCGGACACCUCCAUCAUUCAAGAAUCCAUUAGAACGUCUUUCUCCCCCAGGCCCACGUUCCGCGGAGGAGCUGGGUGGCUGCAGGCAAACCGCAAACGUAGGAGGGUCCGAGACAAGCGUGCUCAGCUCGGACAGGCGUGAGCUGGGAGGUACGGGAGGGAAGGGGAAAGUGGCGUCCAGGCCAAUGACAGCUGGCGAGGCUGUGCGUGAAGCAUCCGCCGGGGACAAGGACAGGGGCUCGUGGGGAGGUCAGGGGACGUGGUCGUUCCCGGGUCAGCAGCAGGAAGCGGUGACUUCUCCCGCGUCAUAAACCGUCCCGUCCUUCGCCACCUCUCGCCACGCUUACUCAAGAGGCCACGCUGCCUGACACCUGCUGAUUCUUCCUGGGAUGGCUUCGAAAUGGUUCACGUCCUUAAUCUUGCUCCUCAACUGGAUUGUUAAGUUCUCUGAGGUCAGGAACCCAUACCUAACCCUCUCUGCGUGCCCCGAAGCUCCUUCCUAGGGCUGAGCACAAACCAAGACUCAAUAACCGCCCGGAGUCUAUCGGAGACUUUCACGCACCGCUGACAAAGAUUCAGCGGUACUGGAGGGUUUGCUCCAGGAUCAACCAGCGUAUUUCUCAGCGAGCGGAUCCAAGCUUGUUCUCGGCGGGACAUCAGGCUAUUGACGGUCUAUCCAGCCAGACUUUUGGGCCUUCUUGGCCACGCCUCACAUGCUGUAGACUCCAGCUGUGUGGAACCGAAUGCUCUCGGCGCCUCUGUGCCUUUGCACAGGCUGAUCUCUUGGCCUGGCUGCCCUUCCCUCAUCCUUCCAUCCGUGGACUUGGCGUUUCGGCUCCAGGUCAACCCGCCCCUUCCCGCAGGGCGGCCAGCAUCCCUCGGGCAGAGCUGGUGAGGCCUCCGCCUGUGGGUCCGGAGUACUUUCCGGAGGCCUGACAGGACAGGUGGCCUGGUGGCCCUGCCAUCCGGUUGAUGCUGUCUGCUGGCCCGAUCUGCCCCCUUCGUCAUCUCUCAACUUUGGCUCUCGGCGCAGUGCCUGGAACCUGGUAAAGGUUUAUCGAACGAAUGUGUCUCCCACAUUUGGCCUAUCAUGGCGACGGCAGUCAGGGCCCAGCAGGUCACGUGGGGACACGGCAAAAGACGUGAGACCAAACAAACGCUUUGGAGGGAAGCAAGGCCCUGGGGCCCUCCCGAUAAGCUGGGGCACCUGGGACCAACCCCCAGCUGUGAGGUUGGGGGAAGUGACACUUGCUUUCCAGAGCCCCGGCCUCAUCUUGGGGCCUCACUCCACUUUGUGGGGUUUCCAAAACGUCAUGCAACCUUCUCAUGGCCUUUAGUGACACGGCCGGACGGGGCGAUUAUGCCCGGUCUCCAGCGAUGGGUGUGGGGUGUGACCGGGCGGCAGCAGUGUGUCGGGCGGAGAGGGUGGCGUUACCCCUGGAUGCGGGGGAGGUGGCGAAGAUCGUGGACUCCAGCCUGGCCUCACACCCAGCCCCCACCCCCGCCCCGCCGUGCGACGCGGUGGGAAGGCCUCAGCUUCCCCGCGCAUAAAGGGUGAAGCAACCCCCACGGGGUCGUUCAGAAAGUCGGGCAAACGGACGCGUGUGAGCAUCGAGGGGGAUGCCCGGCACGUGACGAUGGCUCCCGAAAAGCCAGCCCCCGUCAUUUGGAACCGGAAGAUGAGUGUCACAUCUGGCUUUCUCCACUUGCAGGUUGUGGGACCUGAGUGGGUCAAGGUGUCUUACCUCUCCGCUCACAUUCUCUGGUUCCUGAGAGGAGGGCGGGACUGCUGCCCUCACCGGCUGUCUUGAGACGCAAGGAGAUAAUGGGAGGGAAUGUGCUUUGCAAGCCACGCGUUUUCCUGGGGUAGCUGUGAGUUGCCUGUGCGAAGGCACGGAGAGGUGAGGAGACCUUGGAGAUCCUGCCACGUGAGAGCUACCCCUUAAUGGAGACAAUGACCGUCUAGUAACCAAACUUGUAAUUUCCGUAAAGCACAUGCUUUAACAGCCACCUGGGGUGGGGGGGAGGUCUAUUAGCGACCCGUAGGCAAAACUGUGACUCUCCCAAUGCGAAGUUCGAGUCUGAGGGUCCACUUGGCUGAGCCACGGUUCCCAGACAUGUAGUCAAACAUUAUUCUGGACGUGUCUGUGAGGGUGUAUCUGGAUGAAAUUAACAUUUAAAUCAUUGGACUCUGAUCCAAUGUCCUCUAUAAUGUGGGUGGGCCUCAUCUAAUCAGUUGAAGGCCAGAAUUGAACAAAAGACUGACCCCCCCCACCCCAACCCCACCCCCCACACACACCCAUCCCCAUGCAAGAGGUAAUUUUGCCAGCAGACUGUCUCUGGACUUGAACUGUGGCAUUGACUCUUCCCUGGGUCUCUAGCUGGCCAGCCUACUCAGCAGACUUUGGACUUGCCAGCCUCCAUAAUCACCAUAAUUGUGCUAAUUACCUAAAAUCUCUCUCUCUCUCUCUCUUACACACACACACACACACACACACACACACACACUGUUGGUUCUGUUUCUUUGAAGAACCCUAAUAUACCCAUAAACAUUUGGAGUCCUCAGAUAGCUUUAAACUAGAAACUCUAACAGUCCCAGUGAACACAGAUUUCCCAGGGAGGCUAGUUUCAAACACUAGCCAAUCCUAAGCGUGACUUUGUCCUGCCUCGCCUGUUCCCUCCCAUGGAAACCACACAUGCCCCCUCCUUCUGCUCCCUGACCGCCCCCGGUGCUUACCCAGGAGACCCUGCAUGGUGUCCCGUGCUCUCUCAAGGGAACCGUGACUAUAAUAAAAUCUUUAAAAUUUCUCAGUCUCUCUCUGUCUUCACCUGCAUCUGGUCUUUCCACACCUCACCCAAGGUCAUGUGAUAAAACAGACAGUGACUGCAGCCCAGCCCUAGGGGAACCGUGGGCCAGCCUCCAGGGAUGGGCAAGUAGGUUAUCUGGCCCCGUCACGUGACGCCCUGCUAGAUGCCACGGUACCACUCUACGUGAGAUCGAGGGCUGACAGAGAGGCCGUCCGCUUCUCAAGCGGCCUGGGCCAAAAGAAUCGUUCCUUGCAGAAAACGAUCAUCAUCCUCACAUAAACACGAUCUGGCCCUCCAGAGAGCCUGAGUGAGCCAUGUCCCCAAGUGAGAGCAAAUGUGCGUCCAGAGGAAGCGUAUUUACCUGCUCGCUCAGGACCCACAGCAGCCUCGGCGCCCUGUUCCCGUUCCUGUCUCUGUUCCUCAGGGCGUGUUCCUGAAGCAUCUGUGUCUGAGAGCUCAUUCACCUCACCUGCGGGGAGAGGAGGGCGGUGACCUCCCAGGAAAGAGUUAAAUCCCCCUGGGUGACUCAUAAAGUCACAGAAUCACACAAUUACAGAACCUGAGAAUUUCAGAGCCUGGAAGGGAGCUAACGGGUCAUCAGGGUCCAACACCCCUCGUUUUGAGAAGGAAACAAAUAAUCCCAGCUGAAACGAAGACUCCCCACUCACCUGCAGUCCCUAUUGUGGAGUCCCAAGCGAGGGCUAAUUUGACCGUGGAAUCGGAGAAC